RNAcentral lists this ribosomal RNA (460 nucleotides) under uncultured bacterium. RNAcentral describes it as "partial 16S ribosomal RNA". It matches the Rfam family "Bacterial small subunit ribosomal RNA", at positions 338 to 795 of the family's 1533-position model. The record is from RNAcentral.
CCUACGGGAGGCUGCAGUGAGGAAUAUUGGUCAAUGGACGAGAGUCUGAACCAGCCAAGUAGCGUGAAGGAUGACUGCCCUAUGGGUUGUAAACUUCUUUUAUAUGGGAAUAAAAUGUUCCACGUGUGUGCUUUUGUAUGUACCAUAUGAAUAAGGAUCGGCUAACUCCGUGCCAGCAGCCGCGGUAAUACGGAGGAUCCGAGCGUUAUCCGGAUUUAUUGGGUUUAAAGGGAGAGUAGGUGGAUUGUUAAGUCAGUUGUGAAAGUUUGCGGCUCAACCUUAAAAUUGCAGUUGAAACGGGCAGGCUUGAGUACAGUAGAGGUGAGCGGAAUUCGUGGUGUAGCGGUGAAAUGCUUAGAUAUCACGAAGAACUCCGAUUGCGAAGGCAGCUCACUAGACUGCAACUGACACUGAGGCACGAAAGUGUGGGUAUCAAACAGGAUUAGAUACCCUUGUAGUC